CUGAGAGAUAAUGUCGCAGCUGGACCCCUCGGUUGAAGGGGACUCGGCAGAGGCUACCAACCAGCAAACAAUCUUACCAAAGACGAUACCUUGUAACUGGAGAUUCCUUCAAAACGAUUGCCUACAGUUACCAUGUAGGACACUGCAAGGUUGGGUGACCAGGGCCAUCUGGGACUGCCCCUGGAGGAAUUCAGGCAUGUGAAGGCAUAUGCACAACCAAAUGCUCUUUUAAGAGCCAUCCACAUGGCAAUACGAGUAUUCUUCUAUUUACUUAGCUACGUCAACUGCAGUUAUUCAAUUCCCAGUUUCUCUCCUUUUGAUUUCUACUUCUCAGGUGAGGGUGCUGUUCAGGUAAGGGUGAUGUCUGUACAAAAACAAAACAGGCUCUUUUAAGAGUCACCCAUAUUGAAAACAAAUAGGACAAUUAGACACCCUAUAACCCACACACUCGUGUAUCAAUCUGAUUGAUGGAUUGUGUUGUGCAGUAAGCAGGCUCAGGUGUAUAACUGUGGCUCCUUCCACCUUCAAAGAAUAGGCAAGAGGACCAACCAUGGAGAAUAUAUAAAGUACUCUGCAGCCACUUGGUGUGGACACCAGGUUAUAUCAGCUGUGUCGGUGAACCCCUCGCGCAUCUGAGCUGGCUGACACAGAGGGCACAGCAUGAUCAGAGGUAUGUUUUGAUGUGAGAGAGAGUGCCAACCCCUGUCACGG
Coregonus clupeaformis (lake whitefish) is the source of this 711-nucleotide long non-coding RNA. RefSeq lists it as uncharacterized. The record is from RefSeq and is a predicted model, not a curated record. The transcript has 5 exons. Lineage: Eukaryota; Metazoa; Chordata; Actinopteri; Salmoniformes; Salmonidae.